This 342-nucleotide ribosomal RNA is filed under the name Triticum aestivum (bread wheat). RNAcentral describes it as "partial small subunit ribosomal RNA". The record is from RNAcentral. Lineage: Eukaryota; Viridiplantae; Streptophyta; Magnoliopsida; Poales; Poaceae.
AUGUCCCUGUGGACGCCAUGUUCUUUUUCGGAGACCUCUCCAAGACCAGGAUACGCCGAGACGCCUUUGUGGGUUCUUUUCGCCAAGUACCGACGACCGCAGAUUUUGGGACGUGCCAAGUUCCGUUUAAAGAUGUUCAACUUCAUCCGAUGUGGAUUUCGACAAGUACCACGACGCCCAGAGCCCUCGGAUACGUUAAGUUUGACUACACUGCGAGACGAAGAACGCCAAGUACAUCUCCGAAAACGAACAUGUACCACUAUGUCCGGAGGCAUCGGAUCCGUCAAGUCCAACAACGACUGUGUACAACUAUUGGCGACCUCGAACGACUACAAAACAUGA